GGCUAGCUCAGUUGGUUAGAGCAUGGUGCUGAUGAUACCAUGGUCACAGGUUCAAUUCCUGUAUGGGACA
RNAcentral lists this transfer RNA (70 nucleotides) under Podarcis lilfordi (Lilford's wall lizard). Its description in RNAcentral is "tRNA.Ile". The stretch from base 4 to 62 matches the Rfam family "tRNA", at positions 8 to 63 of the family's 71-position model. Rfam says of the family: Transfer RNA (tRNA) molecules are approximately 80 nucleotides in length. Their secondary structure includes four short double-helical elements and three loops (D, anti-codon, and T loops). Further hydrogen bonds mediate the characteristic L-shaped molecular structure. tRNAs have two regions of fundamental functional importance: the anti-codon, which is responsible for specific mRNA codon recognition, and the 3' end, to which the tRNAs corresponding amino acid is attached (by aminoacyl-tRNA synthetases). tRNAs cope with the degeneracy of the genetic code in two manners: having more than one tRNA (with a specific anti-codon) for a particular amino acid; and 'wobble' base-pairing, i.e. permitting non-standard base-pairing at the 3rd anti-codon position. Lineage: Eukaryota; Metazoa; Chordata; Lepidosauria; Squamata; Lacertidae. The record is from RNAcentral.